AUUGAACGCUGGCGGCAGGCCUAACACAUGCAAGUCGAGCGGUAGAGAGAAGCUUGCUUCUCUUGAGAGCGGCGGACGGGUGAGUAAUGCCUAGGAAUCUGCCUGGUAGUGGGGGAUAACGUUCGGAAACGGACGCUAAUACCGCAUACGUCCUACGGGAGAAAGCAGGGGACCUUCGGGCCUUGCGCUAUCAGAUGAGCCUAGGUCGGAUUAGCUAGUUGGUGGGGUAAUGGCUCACCAAGGCGACGAUCCGUAACUGGUCUGAGAGGAUGAUCAGUCACACUGGAACUGAGACACGGUCCAGACUCCUACGGGAGGGAGCAGUGGGGAGUAUUGGACAAUGGGCGAAAGCCUGAUCCAGCCAUGCCGCGUGUGUGAAGAAGGUCUUCGGAUUGUAAAGCACUUUAAGUUGGGAGGAAGGGCAGUAAAUUAAUACUUUGCUGUUUUGACGUUACCGACAGGAUAGGCACCGGCUAACUCUGUG
RNAcentral lists this ribosomal RNA (484 nucleotides) under uncultured bacterium. RNAcentral's name for it is "partial 16S ribosomal RNA". It matches the Rfam family "Bacterial small subunit ribosomal RNA", at positions 30 to 507 of the family's 1533-position model. The record is from RNAcentral.